UACGUAGGGUGCAAGCGUUAAUCGGAAUUACUGGGCGUAAAGCGCGCGCAGGCGGCCCUUUAAGUCCGUCGGUGAAAGACCGGGGCUCAACCCCGCGUCAGCCAUGGAUACUGGAGGGCUGGAGACAGGUAGAGGCAAGCGGAAUUCCGGGUGUAGCGGUGGAAUGCGUAGAUAUCCGGAAGAACACCGGAGGCGAAGGCGGCUUGCUGGACCUGGUCUGACGCUGAGGCGCGAAAGCGUGGGGAGCGAACAGG
Molecule: ribosomal RNA, 254 nt
Filed under: uncultured bacterium
Lineage: Bacteria
Description: partial 16S ribosomal RNA
Rfam family: Bacterial small subunit ribosomal RNA
Source: RNAcentral